Molecule: long non-coding RNA, 1072 nt
Organism: Populus nigra (black poplar)
Lineage: Eukaryota; Viridiplantae; Streptophyta; Magnoliopsida; Malpighiales; Salicaceae
Exons: 3
Source: RefSeq, a predicted model, not a curated record
GUUUGAAUAAACUUUUGAUAUUGAUAAGGUAUUGCUAUCAAGAAAAAAAUCUUGAAGAUGAGAUAUAUUUAAAUGGUAUAAUUGCUUGGUGUGGAUACUCUUAGUAUGACUUAUCUUAAUACUGAUAUUGUGAGCAAAACUCUUAUGUCCUUGCUAAAGUCUCAGGAAGCAAAUGUGAUGACAAUCCGAGAAGUUAAGGAUCUCACUAAACUUCCAUUGAAAGAGCUCAUCGAUUCACUAAUGACUCAUGAAAUCAUCAUGGAAAAGCAAGAAUUAGAUAAGAAGCCAAAUAAGAAUUUGACAUUCAAAACCAUGCACCAUGAUGAUGAUGAUGAUGAUGAUGAUGAUGAUGAUGAUGAAGUAGAGGAAGACAUUGCACUUAUAACAAGUCAAUUCUAGAAUUUUUUUAAUAAAGAAGCAAGGGAAUAAAAAGUGCUUACACUUCAAGAUGGAUGAAAAUAAGGAAGAAUCUAGUAAGGUGGCCCUUAAAAGCUACAAGUGCAACAAGACGGGACACGUUAAGGUCAAUUGCCUUUCUUUCAAAACAAGAAGAAGAACCAUCAUCAUAAACAAGCAAUGAAAGCAACAUGGAGUGAUGACUCAGACUCUAGCUUAAGUGAUGAUGAAGAACAUGUUGCAAACAUGUGUUUCAUGACAAUUGAAAGCGAUAAUAAGGAAUCAAGAGAAUAUAAGGAAUGAUUCUUUGAUAAUGCUUGCUCAAGACAUAUGACCGGAGAUAAUUCAUUGUUCUCAAGUAUAACGAAGAUCAAUGCUGGAAAAGUCACAUUUAAAGAUAACUUAAAAGGAAAGAUCAUUGGAGUUGACAAUAUCGAAGGUGAGGCAUCAACUAUGAGAUCCCAAGAAAGUGGAACAAGACCAGCGAGAGGAAAAUAUAGGUGUUUGUCACCUUAAAACCUCUUUAAUUUAUAGUAACUGUUAUAAGUUACUAAUUCCAAUAAAAGGAUUGUUGAUUUGUGUAAUAUGUGUUGUGGACGGUAAGUACUUAUGAAAUCUUGAUACAGAGAUUUGUUUAAAUAAGUGUUGGGUUGUUGAAUGAAAAGUCAACCCCAUG